AAAAUACUAAAAGAAUAGUAGAAAAAUAAGCUACUAGUCUAAAAUUUUAAGAAAGAGCUACUAGGGUCUAUAGUAAUUUGGAGCCCCAACCUCAAUUGGCUCUUUUUUAAUUCCUUUUUAGGCCUCAUUUAGCUCUUUUUUUAAAAAAAUUUCAAAGUUGUAAUUUGAAGUUACAAAAAUUUUAGUGCCUGACAGUUGAAACUAGUAUUUUUUUGCAAGCAACUAGUUGUUUUGGCUUGUGUAUUGCAAUAGUGUUGUAGAAAUUUCUAUGAUUGGAUUCUAUGGCAGUGAAGUCGAU
Molecule: long non-coding RNA, 298 nt
Filed under: Physcomitrium patens
Lineage: Eukaryota; Viridiplantae; Streptophyta; Bryopsida; Funariales; Funariaceae
Description: long non-coding RNA (PPAT_LNC000939)
Source: RNAcentral